AGAAUUUUCAACUCUCAUGAAUCAGCGAAUGAAGCGAAUAAAAUUUCGAAGGUGCCGCUUCAUUCGCUUCAUUCGCUUCAUUCGCUUCAUUCGCUUCAUUCACUUCUUUUGCUUCUUUUGCUUCUUUCGCUUCAUUCGCUUCUUUUGCUUCUUUUGCUUCUUUCGCUUCUCUUGCUUCACCCGCACAGUCCCGUCUUUUUUUUCCUGUAGCCUUUCAGACUUCGUUUGUUUAAACCGCUGAGACCAUCAUUGACAUUUGAAGACGAAUAAAAUCAGAUUCAAUGAAAGACAUUUUAGAAAAGCACGUGUUUAAUUUAGAAGAUUACAGAGAGAUCGGUGAAAACGACGCUUGGCUGCAGAAAAUCGUAGAAACAAGUCGAUUUAAGAGCAGAAGGAUCUUCCUGCUCGAUUUUUAUUGUUUUUUUGGACUUUGAGAAACUUUAAAACUUCUCGUUUUGUUUCGUCCGUCUUGUUCAUGAAGUAAAAACAUGUUUUCAGCGUAAAGACGGUGACUCUGUGUAAAUCAUGGCGGCCUCUGAGGCGUGGAUGUGAAAGGGGGCAGCUCGGCCUCCUCGGGACCUUCAGAGACAGCACCACGGGACGAUUAGAGGGAGGGUCUGCUCUUUAGGAAAGGGGGCGGGCUAAGAGAGCAGGUGGGGCGAGUGUGUGCACAUCAGAGGGGGGUAUUUCAGACGUGGACGCUCAGAAUCCACUGAUCUAAUGACGGACCGGCUUCAGAGCGACGCUGCGCCUCUUUGCUCAGCGCCAAUUAACUCGGAGGGAGGGGACAGUUGAUGGACAAGUCUAUUAUUAGCAUGUGAGGAGCGCCGCAGAGCCGCAAAGAAAUCAAAGAAAGAAAAGUCCUGAAGGAAGUGGCGAAUGCGAAGUGAAAGCGCCUGAUAUGCUUCAUUGGCCCAAUUGUGGCCGUGCUGCUUUCUUCUCCUCCUCCCUGCAAACACCAGCACGCCGUCCGCAACACAACCCUGCAAAUGAUGUAAUUUGUGGCUCUGCAGAGGUGUCCCCUCGCCGCCGCCGCCGCUGCUGCUGCGCGACCCAAUUAUACCACUCCCAGAAACAAAAACCCCGUCAGUCAAAGAAACGUAUCAAAGGUUCCUCGAAGGCUGGAAAGUGUCCGGCUGAGCGGGGAGCAGCUCCUCCACCUCCCCGUCAAACCCACCUAUCAUUGUCUCCAUGCAGGAGGAGGUCACUCGGUGAUUGGGCUCCAUUUCAAACACACCUCCCAUGUUCGCCAAUGAAUGUCUUUGAGGGGGAAGACGCCAAACAGCCGCCUUCGCCGCAUCAGGACGACCAGCAGCUGUUACUUCUCCUUUAAUAACCGAGUUUCUUUUAUUGGACAGAUUUAGAAAACUCUGCGUACCUCAUCAUGAAACUCAGAUUUUUCUCCAUCACUGUAAGAUUAAGUGUCUCAUGAUGUUCGUUUACGUCUCAUGAGUUAAAGGGUUAAAGUUUCAGUGAGAAGAGGAAAACACUCCAACACUGAGGAGAGUCGUGAAAGUUUGAUUUCUCUGCUCUCGUGCGGCACACUGACCGCUCUCCUCUCCUUCAUCUUCAUCAUCUUCAGACGUGCAUUAAUGAGGAUAUCACAGCUGAAAUCAAACAGAUGAUCCUCGUUCAAAACUCAAACUCCUGUCAUCCAAACGUCUCAGAUCUGACAUUCACUCGCUCUGUCUUCGCAGUGUAAGCUGUCCGAACAGAUCUCACGAUUUAGUGAUCUGGCGUGAUCGACUGCUCCUUGAUUGGUCCAACUUUGUCACAGGAGCCAAUCAGAAGAUGAGAAACUUCAAAAGAUGUAAUUAAUGUUGGGUUUAAUUAUUGAUGUCUGCUCUAUGAGGCUGCAUGGAUUCACACCAACUGUUGAACAUCAGGAUUCAGAGUUAAAACUCAACACUGACACUGAAAACAAACAAACUUAAACACUCGUGGAUCUGAUCGUUAUGAUUAUUUAUCGUCUCGGUGUCCUGGGAUCUUCGCAGAAUCUUCUCCGUUUAGUGUUUGAAUAUUUAAAGCUCCUGUGAGAAAGUUUUGACAGCAAUGAAAUUCACACUGAUGCCUUUUUAUGGUAUCUGGAAGAAGACAUUGUUACCUUCGCCAAGGAGGUUAUGUUUUCGGUAGCGUUGGUUUGUUUGUUUGUUUGUUUGUUUGUCUGUUAGCAACUUUACGGAGAAAGUUACAGACGGAUUGACCUGAAAUUUUCUCCAGAGGUGCGUCUCAGCCCCAGGAGGAUCCCAUUACAUUUUGGUGGUGAUCCGGACAAAAUUCUGGAUACUGUGAUCCAGAACACACAAAAAUAAGGGUGUCGUUGGAAUUUUCAAUGCUGAAAGAUAACCAAUGGGCGGCACAGUGGUGUGUGAAUAUUUAAAGCUCCUGUGAGAAAGUUUUUGACAGCAAUGAAAUUCACACUGAUGCCUUUUUAUGGUAUCUGGAAGAAGACGUGGUUUAUGAUGAUGCACCUCACACUUUUCCGAUUAGAGGAAGUGAUUUUCGUCUCCAUGUGGUCAUAAAAGAUGCAAGAAGAACAAACAGAUGAUUAGAGGAAGAGAUUUUAGUCUCCAUGUGAUGAUCAAAACUGUGUUUCCUUUAUAUAAAUCUCAUCCUGCUGUCUCCGUUUUUGUCAGGGAACACGUUAAAAAGGCGAUAUUAACAGUGAGGGUCGUCCUGACAAACGGUUUCAGACUGACAGAAAAAAGUCACUCUCUCUGUUUCUGUUUUAAUCAGAAUUCAUUCAAGUCCAGAUAAAAAACUCUUUAUAGGAGCUUUAACCAAAAAGUACUGAAUCAAAUAUCCCCAAACUUUCUUUAUUUCAUAAAAAACUAAGUGGGUGAGUGCUGUAGGGGUCGGAGUGUCCACGGAGGACCAGGUGCUCUUCAGGAGGACAAACAGUGUCUAAAAAAUUCGUGAGAGAAGUGACUUACCUAUCAGGUGUUCAUAAAAGCUCAUGGUGUGAAGGCGAUC
This 2973-nucleotide long non-coding RNA is filed under the name Xyrichtys novacula (pearly razorfish). Lineage: Eukaryota; Metazoa; Chordata; Actinopteri; Labriformes; Labridae. The record is from RNAcentral.